Molecule: small RNA, 896 nt
Filed under: Vigna angularis var. angularis
Lineage: Eukaryota; Viridiplantae; Streptophyta; Magnoliopsida; Fabales; Fabaceae
Description: Non-protein coding transcript
Source: RNAcentral
CUUACCUUUCAUCAUCUUCAACCCUAACGUUCAUCAUGAAAUUUGGUUUUCAUGAAAUUAAGCACCAUAAGAUUAGGGUUUAGUAAAAUCAAAUUAGGUUCGAGGUUGGAGUUAAAGGCAUCUCCCGAAAACUGUUCACCACCGUCAUUUUCUUGUGAAGCGAUGUGAGGGAUUUGGGGGUGUCGAGGUCGAUUAUUUGGGGUUUGGAGUCGAAUUCGAAAAGGGGUAAUUGAAUUUGAGGGUGGAAGAGCUUAGUGAGGUCGUGAUCGAAGGAGAGGCAAGAAUCAAAGGAAGAAGAUUGAGAAGGGCUUUGAUUGGUUUGAUUAAAUUGGAAGGAAGGUUGUUUAUUUUGGGGAGUGGCGAGUGGAGAGAGUUCACCUAAAAGAUGCAACUUGAUGCGAUUCAAAGCUAAAAUUUUAGUUGCAUUGGCAAUGGUUGGUCGAAUUGGUCCGAUGAAGUGGAUUUGGUGUUCCUUACGAUUAGAGAUGGUGGCAUUUCGUAGGUUCCAUGGAGAUUUGAAAGUCUCACGUUUUGUGUCCAGCGCGAUUUAGGGUUCGUGGCUAAUUUGGGGGUUUUCAGAUUUGUGAUUUUGUUUUCUCUUUACAGGUUUCAAAUGGUUUAACGGAGAAGAAAAUAGAUGAUGAUGAGCUCGAUUACGGCGCGAAGAGUUUGAGCGUUGGUUACGUUGGCCAUGGUGGCGAUUUGCCCUCGCGGUGGAUGGUGCACGAGGAUGAUAUGGUGGUUCUAAGGCGCGAUAUGGUUCUCUGAUGAUGGCUAUUGUUGUGUAAUGUGCAAGAAUUACAGAUGUUGGAAUGAAAGCUAUUACUGAAUUAAGGAUCUGAGUGAUGGACAGGAAGAGGAUUUUUGGGUGGUGCUUGACUAUAAUGGAAGAUGAC